UUGACUUAGCGGCGGACGGGUGAGUAACGCGUGGGUAACCUGCCUUAUACAGGGGGGUAACAGUUAGAAAUGACUGCUAAUACCGCAUAAGCGCACGGGAACGCAUGUUUCUGUGUGAAAAACUGAGGUAGUAUAAGAUGGACCCGCGUCUGAUUAGCUGGUUGGUGGGGUAACGGCCUACCAAGGCGACGAUCAGUAGCCGGCCUGAGAGGGUGACCGGCCACAUUGGGACUGAGACACGGCCCAAACUCCUACGGAAGGCAGCAG
Molecule: ribosomal RNA, 267 nt
Filed under: uncultured bacterium
Lineage: Bacteria
Description: partial 16S ribosomal RNA
Rfam family: Bacterial small subunit ribosomal RNA
Source: RNAcentral